UUCUGAUACUCGUUAUUUCCUUGCAUAGAUAGAGACUUUAAACUAUUGUAAUUUUCCUUCUGCCUAAAGGAUUUUCUACUUCACAUUUUUGUUCUAUAGAUCUGCUAGAGAUGAAAUUUGAUUUUAAUCUUUCUACUUAAAAUGUUCAUUUAUGGAUUCCAAUUAUAAUGGCUAAUUUAUUGUUCUUUUCCAUUAAUUCUAUUAUCUACAACACUUCUGGGUCAAUUUGAUGGAUUGAUUUUUUUCUCCUCAUAUGGGUUGCAUUUUCUUGUUUCUUUGCAUGCCUGGUAAUUUUUUUAAUGGAGACCAGUCUUUGUGAAUUUUAUCUUAUAGUUUAAAGAUAUUUUCCAUAAAUAAUUCUUAAGCAUUUUUUGGGGAUUCAGUUAGCAGGAGAAAUUUAAUCCUUUCAGGUGUUGUAUUUUAAACUUUUUUAGGCAGGGCCAGAAAAACAUUUCCUAUAGGCCUAGUUUUUCCCAGUAUUGAGGUAAAAACCCUUUUGAGUGUUCUCCCCAGUAUUCCAUAAUCUUGAGUUUUUCCACUACCAGCUGCUGCGACCAGGAACUCUUCUCAGCCCUGUAAGAUAUUCAGAUACUGGUCUCUCAAAUCUUGUCUAGUCAUUUUUUUACCAGCUUCAGUAGCUCCUUCACACAUAAGCAGUGUUUAAUAUGCAUAUGCAGAUAAAGCUUCAGAGGGGCCUUUGAAGAUAUCUGGAGCUUUUUCUAUCUCUGUCUCUCUCUUUCUCAAGAAUCAUUCUUGAGUACUUAAAAAAAUUUUAAGAGAAUGAAUUUUAGGACAUAGAAGAAUCACAAAAUAGAAGCAUUCUAAUGUAAUAGUAAUGUAUAACUGUACAAAAUACCUAGAUGAAAAUAACUUACUAGUUUCUUUUAGUCAAAACGUAUUACUAAAUACAAACUGUUACUUGAUAGUGUUUUAAGCAUUGUGUAAAUGUAUUAGAGAUCAAAAGAGUAGAAAUUUUAACAAUUCACAAUACCACAAGAAAAUUAUAUUAUUUGGGGGAUACAUCACGACUACCAUUUUGUCCCAAUACUUCUCUCUCUCUUCCUCCUCCUCUCUCUCAAUCUCUUUCAACUAGGAUAUUUAUAGAUCAUAAAUGUUCAAAAGUACUCAUUAUUAGAAAAGGAAAAGAGAGGCAAAUUUUAAAAGGAUGAAUCAGAUCUUGGGCCUUUGGACUCAGACUAAAUUAUACCACAGGCUCUCCUGCUUCUCCAGCUUGCAAAUGGCAUUUUGUGAGAAUUCUUGGCCUCCUUAAACUGUAUAAAAGACAAUUCCCAUAAUAAAUCUCCUCAUAUAUAUAUCUAUACA
RNAcentral lists this long non-coding RNA (1323 nucleotides) under Sus scrofa (pig). RNAcentral describes it as "lncRNA (ENSSSCG00070028860.1)". The record is from RNAcentral. Lineage: Eukaryota; Metazoa; Chordata; Mammalia; Artiodactyla; Suidae.